UACGUAGGUGGCAAGCGUUGUCCGGAUUUAUUGGGUUUAAAGGGUGCGUAGGCGGCCCUGUAAGUCAGUGCUGAAAUAUCCCGGCUUAACCGGGAGGGUGGCAUUGAUACUGCAGGGCUUGAGUGAACUCGAAGUAGGCGGAAUUGACGGUGUAGCGGUGAAAUGCUUAGAUAUCGUCAAGAACACCGAUAGUGAAGACAGCUUACUAGGUUUCAACUGACGCUGAGGCACGAAAGUGUGGGGAUCAAACAGG
RNAcentral lists this ribosomal RNA (253 nucleotides) under uncultured bacterium. Its description in RNAcentral is "partial 16S ribosomal RNA". It matches the Rfam family "Bacterial small subunit ribosomal RNA", at positions 524 to 776 of the family's 1533-position model. The record is from RNAcentral.